UUAUGAGGUUAAGCGACUAAGCGUACACGGUGGAUGCCCUGGCAGUCAGAGGCGAUGA
Molecule: ribosomal RNA, 58 nt
Filed under: Klebsiella sp. T11
Lineage: Bacteria; Pseudomonadati; Pseudomonadota; Gammaproteobacteria; Enterobacterales; Enterobacteriaceae
Description: partial 23S ribosomal RNA
Source: RNAcentral